Molecule: ribosomal RNA, 241 nt
Filed under: uncultured bacterium
Lineage: Bacteria
Description: partial 16S ribosomal RNA
Rfam family: Bacterial small subunit ribosomal RNA
Source: RNAcentral
CGCACGGGUGAGUAACACGUAUGCAAUCCACCUGUAACAGGGGGAGUAACCCGGAGAAAAUCCGGACUAAUACCCCAUAAUAUGGGCGCUCCGCAUGGAGAGCCCAUUAAAGAGAGCAAUUUUGGUUACAGACGAGCAUGCGCUCCAUUAGCCAGUUGGCGGGGUAACGGCCCACCAAAGCGACGAUGGAUAGGGGUUCUGAGAGGAAGGUCCCCCACAUUGGAACUGAGACACGGUCCAA